GCCAAGAUACAGAAGGUAGGAGACAGAGGAAGGACUGAAGGCAAUUCUGAGUCAACAAGUAUGUCUAGAAAAGAGAAAGAGAAAAGAUCAAACAGGUAAAGUGAAAGCGUGUUGCUUUAGGAGAGGAGACUUGUCCCAUCCGUAGCCCCUUUUCUAAAUUGAUGACCUGGUUCUCCAAAAGGCCGUAGAACUUCAAAACUGUUAUAUGUAGGUCUACAUGGGUUGUCUAAAUGCUGCUCAAAGGGGAGCAUGAAGAGAUCGAUCUGCAAUCCAAGAGAGACAGAUUCCUGCCUGGAGGGAAGCAGAAGAGGCCAUGCUAUUUAUUCUUCUCUGGGAGAGAAAGCGGUUCUUCCCUCUCAUCUCCCUCAUCUGGUGCAGCCCUGGUUGCUAUACCUCCAGAAGAAGCAGUAAGAAUCUCACACAUUGCUCUUUCUUUCUCGCUCUCCGCCUCUUCUGGUUCUUGGAGCGUCUAUUA
This 475-nucleotide long non-coding RNA is filed under the name Monodelphis domestica (gray short-tailed opossum). RNAcentral's name for it is "lncRNA (ENSMODG00000036474.1)". The record is from RNAcentral. Lineage: Eukaryota; Metazoa; Chordata; Mammalia; Didelphimorphia; Didelphidae.